CAGUCGCCGCGGUAAUACAGAGGGUGCGAGCGUUAAUCGGAUUUACUGGGCGUAAAGCGUGCGUAGGCGGCUUUUUAAGUCGGAUGUGAAAUCCCUGAGCUUAACUUAGGAAUUGCAUUCGAUACUGGGAAGCUAGAGUAUGGGAGAGGAUGGUAGAAUUCCAGGUGUAGCGGUGAAAUGCGUAGAGAUCUGGAGGAAUACCGAUGGCGAAGGCAGCCAUCUGGCCAAAUACUGACGCUGAGGUACGAAAGCAUGGGGAGCAAACAGGAUUAGAUACCCCAGUAGUCCCUGUCUCUUAUAC
RNAcentral lists this ribosomal RNA (301 nucleotides) under uncultured bacterium. RNAcentral's name for it is "partial 16S ribosomal RNA". It matches the Rfam family "Bacterial small subunit ribosomal RNA", at positions 509 to 807 of the family's 1533-position model. The record is from RNAcentral.